UACCAACUGAGCCACACAUUACAUUAGCAUAGUUACAUUACAUUAGCAUAGCAGUUGUACCUAGCUACAUUACAUUAACUCCCACAACAUUAACAGACAUCUAAUAUGUCAGACUUCAUUUGAAAGUUCUGGUUCUGAAAGUAUGGCCCAAUUUUUCACAGCUGAAAAAUGCUUCUAUGUAUGUAUGUAUAUACUGUAUGUGGGAAUGUGUUAUGUCCAUCCUAUAUGCUACUUUUAUUAUUCUCCUGUAAAUGGUUCAGUGUCUAUCAUGUAGGCUGUGUCUGAGAAAGGGGCAUAAAGGAAAUGACCUCUACUAGAUUAUAGUGAUAAGGAAAUCAGCAUACAGUUUUGGCCUGUGUAUUCAUUUGCCUAUAAACUAAUCAGAAUUCCUUUAUGUUUACAUAAAACAAAAAAAGAAUACUUCAAAAUGAGAAGAUCCUGCCAUGGAAAAGACGACUGGGUGGACAUAAAGUGUAAAAGAGGGGAAAUAACUCCCACCAUGCAGCAGGACACCUUCAGCUGUGGGGUCUUUGUAAUGCAGGUUUUAUAGUUAUAUUUUCAAUAAUGAAUGAUUAGCUGUUAUAUGACAAUUAGGUCAACAACAAAAAACUAUAUUUUAUUUUUUGGUGUAGAUGGCCAAGGAAGUGGCACAGAACAUCCCUACACAAAUUGAUAUAGAACCUUCACAAAAACACAUGGAGCAACUGCGAAAAGAAAUGGCUGAGGAUAUACUAACAAAUAUCCGGUAUGUAAAUGACAUUUAAUUCAAAGUAAAUGUAAAUUAUUUAUUUUGAUGUAGUUGUGUGGGACGGCCAUAUGUUCAGUUCAGGCCGAUGAUUUCAGAGUUCAACAAAGCCGAACAACUGCUUCCUGUGUGCCACUGAUAAACAACCUGGAUGUGGCCCAAAGACUGACUGGAUUGAAUGUGUUGCAUGCCAACGGUGGUUCCAUGUGCUGUGCCUAGGAAUGAAGACAAAAGAGUUCAACAGAGUGAAGAACGUAAACAGGAAGUGCUGUCUUUGUUGUUGAAAAUGUCUGCUAAACCCCAUCCACACUGAAGAGGCUCUGAAAUGUACAUCAACCAGGGAUAAAGAGAAAGUUAACACUGUGAAAUGUUUCAUACUUAAUUGAAGUAAAGUGUCUGUCGACAUGAUGGAAAAGAUGAAAGGUCUACAAUUUCUGUUUAAUUUGUCAGUAUUACAUUUUUAUUCAUUGAUUUACUGGCCACCAUUACUGUGGUAACAGGUUCAGUAUAUGUAUUGACCAGCAAACCCACUGCAGCCUACCUCACUAGCUCGCUCUCCAUCACUGCUGUGGACAAUUAAUAGCAUGACUCUCGUACUUUGCCCUUUUUCCUUUAAAUCAAAUCAUCAAAUCAAAUGUUAUUUGUCACAUACACGUGGUUAGCAGAUGUUAAUGCGAGUGUAGCGAAAUGCUUGUGCUUCUAGUUCCGACAAUGCAGUAAUAUGGUUGAUAUUAACGAUGAAAGGAGGAAUUAUCUGUCUCUCCUAUUGUGUACCGCUGUUAAAUACUGUGGAAAAAUAAAUAAAUAAAAACAGGGAAAAUAAGUA
Non-coding RNA from Salmo salar (Atlantic salmon), 1571 nucleotides. The record is from RefSeq and is a predicted model, not a curated record. Lineage: Eukaryota; Metazoa; Chordata; Actinopteri; Salmoniformes; Salmonidae.